UUACGCACUCCUACGGGAGGCAGCAGUGGGGGAAUAUUGCACAAUGGGCGCAAGCCUGAUGCAGCCAUGCCGCGUGUAUGAAGAAGGCCUUCGGGUUGUAAAGUACUUUCAGCAGUGAGGAAGGUGGGUAUGUUAAUAGCAUAUUCAUUUGACGUUAGCUGCAGAAGAAGCACCGGCUAACUCCGUGCCAGCAGCCGCGGUAAUACGGAGGGUGCGAGCGUUAAUCGGAAUUACUGGGCGUAAAGCGCAUGCAGGUGGUUUGUUAAGUCAGAUGUGAAAGCCCGGGGCUCAACCUCGGAAUUGCAUUUGAAACUGGCAAACUAGAGUACUGUAGAGGGGGUAGAAUUUCAGGUGUAGCGGUGAAAUGCGUAGAGAUCUGAAGGAAUACCGGUGGCGAAGGCGGCCCCCUGGACAGAUACUGACACUCAGAUGCGAAAGCGUGGGGAGCAAACAGGAUUAGAUACCCUGGGAG
Molecule: ribosomal RNA, 472 nt
Filed under: uncultured bacterium
Lineage: Bacteria
Description: bacterial SSU rRNA
Rfam family: Bacterial small subunit ribosomal RNA
Source: RNAcentral